Oncorhynchus nerka (sockeye salmon) is the source of this 1112-nucleotide long non-coding RNA. RefSeq lists it as uncharacterized. Lineage: Eukaryota; Metazoa; Chordata; Actinopteri; Salmoniformes; Salmonidae. The record is from RefSeq and is a predicted model, not a curated record. The transcript has 3 exons.
CAUUAUGUGACUGUCUGUCUGCCCAGCAACAUCAAAAAUACCAAACAGUCAACCUUGCGCUGAAGAACACUGGUCCUUUACUGAACAGGAUUUCAGUAUCACCGCAGCGCCGCUUCGUUCCAGGCAUCAGGGUGUAACCAACGGUGACCCCGGUGUACACUGCCCACAUGGUGGCAUUUCAGAUAACUGAAAACGGUUUCACUUCUCCGCCAGGCAACAGCACAACUGCUGGGAAAUAAAGUGUGGAGGCUUGAUGAGCACACCGCUUGGUUCAGGGAAAGGCGGGGUGAAGAUGAAGAUAAGACUACCACGGCAGGCACACAGCUCGUUGGAGAGGACCUGAGCCCUAGGACCAUGCCCCAGGACUACCUGACAUGAUGACUCCUUGCUGUCCCCAGUCCACCUGGCCAUGCUGCUGCUCCAGUUUCAACUGGCCUGGGCCCUAGGACCAUGUCCCAGGACUACCUGACAUGAUGACUCCUUGCUGUCCCCAGUCCACCUGACUGUGCUGCUACUCCAGUUUCAACUGUUCUGCCUUAUUAUUAUAAUCUCCACCCGGCACAGCCAGAAGAGGACUGGCCACCCCACAUAUGCUCUCUCUAAUUCUCUCUUUCUUUCUCUCUCUCGAAGGACCUGAGCCCUAGGACCGUGCCCCAGGACUACCUGACAUGAUGACUCCUUGCUGUCCCCAGUCCACCUGACUGUGCUGCUACUCCAGUUUCAACUGUUCUGCCUUAUUAUUAUUCGACCAUGCUGGUCAUUUAUGAACAUUUGAACAUCUUGGUCAUGUUCUGUUAUAAUCUCUACCCGGCACAGCCAGAAGAGGACUGGCCACCCCACAUAGCCUGGUUCCUCUCUAGGUUUCUUCCUAGGUUUUGGCCUUUCUAGGGAGUUUUUCCUAGCCACCGUGCUUUUACACCUGCAUUGUUUGCUGUUUGGGGUUUUAGGCUGGGUUUCUGUACAGCACUUUGAGAUAUCAGCUGAUGUACGAAGGGCUAUAUCAAUAAAUUUGAUUUGAUUAGAUUUGAUUCUCUCAUUUGUGUUUGGAAGUAGCUAACAGCUUGACUGCUGUUGUUAGGAUAGAACGCUCGGAUCAACCUUGCUCCUCGGCU